CUUCAUCUGAUGAGUCCAAAAUAGGACGAAACGCGUGUUCUGGAU
Molecule: non-coding RNA, 45 nt
Filed under: Schistosoma mattheei
Lineage: Eukaryota; Metazoa; Platyhelminthes; Trematoda; Strigeidida; Schistosomatidae
Source: RNAcentral